This 253-nucleotide ribosomal RNA is filed under the name uncultured bacterium. Its description in RNAcentral is "partial 16S ribosomal RNA". It matches the Rfam family "Bacterial small subunit ribosomal RNA", at positions 524 to 776 of the family's 1533-position model. The record is from RNAcentral.
GACGAAGGUGGCAACCGUUGCUCGGAAUCACUGGGCAUAAAGCGCACGUAGGUGGCUAAGUAAGUCGGUGGUGAAAUACCUUGGCUCAACCAAGGAAGUGCCAUCGAUACUGCCAUGCUUGAGGACGGGAGGGGUGAGUGGAACUCUUGGUGUAGCGGUGAAAUGCGUAGAGAUCCGGAGGAACACCAGUGGCGAAGGCGACACGCUGGGCCAUACCUGACGCUAAAGCGCGACAGCAUGGGGAGCAAACGGG